Molecule: ribosomal RNA, 406 nt
Filed under: Halobacterium salinarum
Lineage: Archaea; Methanobacteriati; Methanobacteriota; Halobacteria; Halobacteriales; Halobacteriaceae
Description: bacterial SSU rRNA
Rfam family: Archaeal small subunit ribosomal RNA
Source: RNAcentral
AUUAGCAUGCUAGUUGUGCGGGUUUAGACCCGCAGCGGAAAGCUCAGUAACACGUGGCCAAGCUACCCUGUGGACGGGAAUACUCUCGGGAAACUGAGGCUAAUCCCCGAUAACGCUUUGCUCCUGGAAGGGGCAAAGCCGGAAACGCUCCGGCGCCACAGGAUGCGGCUGCGGUCGAUUAGGUAGACGGUGGGGUAACGGCCCACCGUGCCCAUAAUCGGUACGGGUUGUGAGAGCAAGAGCCCGGAGACGGAAUCUGAGACAAGAUUCCGGGCCCUACGGGGCGCAGCAGGCGCGAAACCUUUACACUGUACGAAAGUGCGAUAAGGGGACUCCGAGUGUGAAGGCAUAGAGCCUUCACUUUUGUACACCGUAAGGUGGUGCACGAAUAAGGACUGGGCAAGAC